Molecule: ribosomal RNA, 497 nt
Filed under: uncultured bacterium
Lineage: Bacteria
Description: partial 16S ribosomal RNA
Rfam family: Bacterial small subunit ribosomal RNA
Source: RNAcentral
GAUGAACGCUGGCGGCGUGCCUAAUACAUGCAAGUCGAGCGAACAGAUGAGGAGCUUGCUCCUCUGACGUUAGCGGCGGACGGGUGAGUAACACGUGGAUAACCUACCUAUAAGACUGGGAUAACUUCGGGAAACCGGAGCUAAUACCGGAUAAUAUAUUGAACCGCAUGGUUCAAUAGUGAAAGACGGUUUUGCUGUCACUUAUAGAUGGAUCCGCGCCGCAUUAGCUAGUUGGUAAGGUAACGGCUUACCAAGGCAACGAUGCGUAGCCGACCUGAGAGGGGGAUCGGCCACACGGGAACGGAGACACGGACCAGACGCCUACGGGAGGCAGCAGUAGGGAAUCUUCCGCAAUGGGCGAAAGCCUGACGGAGCAACGCCGCGUGAGUGGUGAAGGUCUUCGGAUCGUAAAACUCUGUUAUUAGGGAAGAACAAAUGUGUAAGUAACUAUGCACGUCUUGACGGUACCUAAUCAGAAAGCCACGGCUAACUACGUG